CCUGUUCCCUAGCCACAGCACUGCUGCACUGAGUCAUAAACAACAUCCCCCAGUUAACAUGCAUCUUCCAUCAAUUCACUGGCAGCACAAUGGCAGGGGACCCCUCUGGGAUGUGGAAGGUGAUGCUGACCUGUGCAGCAGCACAUCGUGAAGGGCAGAGCAGGAAAAGCUGCAGUGAGGCUUCACACAAAAGUGUGCUUCCAUGCUGAACAGUUGCUGCAUUGAGACAAUGGUGUAUGUUCGGUGAAAUGAAAGACCAGAGAAAUUUGUGGAUUAAAAAAAAUUUUUUUUACAAAGUCCUCCAAAACGCAGAGAUAGAUGCAGGGUGCUCAAAAAGUCAGUCAGACACCCCUCUGCUUAGGGAAGAUUGCUGCUGGGUUAAAGUUAGUACAGAAAAUUCAGUCUAGUGUGGCCCCCGGAUUAUUAUCCGUUAUUACUUUUUCAUGUAGGCAGUGAUGAAGUUGCAAUGAAGAAUCCAUCAAAGGAGACUUUAGGGCUUUGAGAUGAUUGGUUAAGGGAUCAUGUAAGUACAUGCAAUAUUUCCCUCUACUCUUUCAGGUACAGGGAAUGGUAAUGGAAGAAAAAGGCAGAUCAGCUUAUGAAGGCUGGUGUUGCUGGCAAAAUCUUGGGGUUUUUUUGAUCACGAGAUGGUCUACAUGGCAUCAUAGUGCUUGGCACCUGAUGGGCUGCACCUUUCUCAAAGAGUGAAAAGGAUUUUUGCUCAAGAGUUAUCAGGGAUGAAUGAAAGAGCUUUAAACUAGAUUUGAAGGGGGAAAGGAAAACAAUCAGGCUCAGUGGUGAUAAGCUAUGGGAUAGCACUCCUAUCCCAUAGCUAACGGGACAGCAUGAUAACAAGUUCCUUCAUUUUUUUCCAUAGGACACUAGGUACAUAGUAGCACAUUUGAAAUGUUCCUACUCCAAUACAUGCAGCAUGAAGAAUAAGCAAAAAGAGCUAAAAGCUUUGGCUUGAAUCAGAGCUAUGGUAACACUGGCACAGAUGAGGCUCAGUAGGAAGAGCCCUGUGACUGGUGGUUACAAUGGAUGGCUAUAGGCUCCUUAGAAGUGACAUGCAGGGCAUGUGAGGUAGGGGUAGCACUGUAUGUAAUUGAGCAGUCGGACUGUAUGGAGCUCAUGAUGACACAACUGGAAGACUCUAGGUAAGGAUUAAGGGGAGGGUCUGGUUAUGUGUUAGGAAAAGGUACUUUGCCAGAGGGUGCUCGGGCACUGGGAUAGGCUUUCCAGGGCAAUGGUCAUGGCCUCAAGCUGCCUGGAGUUCAAGAAGCAUUUUAACAAUGUUCUCAGACAUAGGGUUUGAAUUUUGGGUGGUCCUCUGUUGAGCCAGGAGUUGGACUCGAGCAACCCUAUGGGUCCCUUCCAACUCAGGAUAUUCUAUGAUUCUGCGAAAAGCAAAUGUUAGCUAAGAUGGAAGGCAGAUCUGUGAGGUUUACUGUUGAGCAAACUUAGGCCUUAAAAAAGGGAAACACAUAUGUGCACACACACAGUGUCUCCAAGAAUCUUUAAUAUUCACAUACAAGAGAAAGAGAAGUCUUUUGUUAGACAUCUUGCCAAAACCAUGAUUCAACAGUUGCCACAUGCAAAAUUUUUCAUGAAAAUUCUACUUCCAGCCACCAAGACUUACUGACUGUAAACUCAAUGUUUGUCCCUGUUUCUCUAUGUUUAACCAAGCAUAUGGAGGCAGAAGCCAAUAAACUGCUCUGCAACGUUUCUAGUCUAGCACCAACCUGGGCAUGGGAAGGAUCUUGUUUGGAUAUGACCCUAUGCUUUAAGGGGAUCUAGUCUUUGAACUUUUAGUCAGUACACAGAUGACUGGUCAUCUGGAGAAGAACUGAAAAGAGAAAAAUGCCAGUAGCGGGAAGCCAAGAUUCCUGUUGUCCAUCUACCUACUCUGCGUUCUAUACUCCUUCAGGGGUUUCUUCAACACAGAACUGUUUUCACAGAAAAAUGACUCCAGAGAAAUUCUAAUUCUUUUUUUCUGGAAGCUUAUUUUCAAAUUACACCUUCACCCAAAGCUGAGUAAGAUUUUGGAGAUAAAACUUUUUUUCCUGUCUCCUUCGCUUCCAGAAGAACAUUCCUGAGUGUCAAACACAUGAGCUUUGAAUGAUGUGAUUUUGUUUCACAGUGAGAGAGAACAGAUCAGUUGCACAGAUCGCACAGGGUGGUAGUAUAGGAAGCUCCUGUGAUGCAUGGCCAGACAUAAAAUCCAUCACUGAGCACACAGAAAGCAUUCACAGUCCCCUGAGAAAUAUCUACAAGGUGAAAGAGAGAUGUGACUUUUUUCAGUCCAACCCCUGCUUAGAUCAUAACACAGUCAAGCAAUUCAACUGUAAAAUUAAGUUAAACCAUGUUUGCAGAGGUGCCGACAGGCUUUCCAGUUAUGUUAAACUAAAUUUAUAUAGCCAAGUUGGUUGAAGAAAGCAUUUUUCAUAGCCAAAUAUACAGAGGAGUUUUCCUAAGAAGGAAAUCUUCAUUCCCUGAUCCACCCAAUGGUCCAAUACUGCUUUUGGCAAUUAUCUUUGCUCAAAUGUUAAAAAUAAAUGAAGAUGGGACUUAGAUUCCAGAUGUCUACUUCAAGACACGUAACUAUUCAGCGUAUUUGGAAGAAGGGUUUUAAAGUUACUUCUGAUUCUUUGAAGGUCAUUCUAACACACAGAUUGUAAUUGCAUAAAAUGAUAACUAUUUAAUUAUAUUCAUUAUUUGUCACCAGACCUAAACUUUUCAACUUUGUUUAGACUUGGCAUAUAACUUCAGGAUGGAUUUUUCAAGUCUUCACAUUUUGUAGUACACAAGACAGACAAUUCCUUUCUUUCCUCUUUCAUAAGUAAUUGAAGGUAAACAGGGGAAAAUGGGGAGUAACAGGCCUAUACAAUGAUUCACUGAGGAUGAUGACAGAAAAUUGCUACUGUCUUCACUAAGUGAAGGAUUUAAAAUAAUCCAUCAGAGAUGAGGGCAGGCUCCCUGAGGUGGCUUUGUAGAGCUGUGUCAGAGUAAAACUAGGCUUCUUUUCUCAAGCAGGUCAGGUAAUUUCCAUUACUUCACUAAUAACUGUCCAUUCCCAGUCACAGGGAUGUGGGCACCCCUUCCUGCUUAGGCUCCUAGAGUAGGAUGUGGAAUAGACUUCUGUUUCUUCCUUUGUGACUGAAUUAAAAAUGCAGUCAGCUGAGCAUCAUAGACAAAACUAGCCUUAUGCAACAGAUAACUUCAACAGAUAGCCUGUCAGCUUGAGUCAAAAUGGAUCUGAAUUUAUUAAACACCAUUUGUGCUCACUUCUGGGGGCAGUGAAAUGCAGAGCUUGUGCAGAUUCUUAAAAAUAACAAUUAUAAAAAAUGCUGAGACCUCCUUUACCAUCUAUUCAUUUUUAAAGGUUUCUCUUGAAAACUUGGAAUCUGUCUAAAAUUUUGUGUGACAAUUUUAAAACUUUAAAACUGAGCAGAUUUCUGGUACCUUGAGGUCAUAAACACAUGAAAUAAUUCCUGAGAUGGCUUCACUUGUAAAUGAGCACAAGAUUUUCUUCUUUUCUCCAAGGAUUUGCUUACCGAAAUCCCACAUGCUGCAGACUUCUUGCCAAAUCGCUGCAGAAACUUCUGCCAGAAGGGAAUGCUCACAACUGCUGAUACCUGCAAUUAACAGGAAAAGGAAAUCUGUGCUGUACUUAUUGCUACUUCAUAGGCUUCAUUGUCUUCAUCAGCUGUAGAGUUCACCAAUAUCAUUUUGUAUAGUACAUGAUAGUCUGGAAAGCAGACGACCUUGCAGGCUGCUCCCUAUCACUCUCCAAGUGGUUUGUCUGAUUCACUCUUAUAUGUUAUAAAUGAAAACGAUGCGAGAGGUUUUAACAAAGGUAAAUAUGAAAAUACAGUAUCAAACUUUCCUUCUGCUAACGUAAGCCACUGCAGUUAAAGUUACACAAUCAUUAAAGCCCAAGCAUACCACAAACACUUGUAUUUUGUCCUGAUGUCUUUUACCUCAUGAUUUGAACCUGACACAUUAUAAUUUAACUAAGCCUUAUCCCACAGUAUAGGAAGAAAGCUGAAAAGCAAUAUACACUUAUCUUAAAGUACACUUAGAGUACAUACCCCAGCUCAGUCUAUACAUAAAAGAUUUCUUGUCUUUUAUAACUUUGUGCUAAAAAACAGUGAGAUUGAUAAUAAGAAAUAAAAAUGUAAAUAAAACCACAACUCACCAAGAUGGUCACCACCAAAUACUGGAAGUGAUAGUGAAGAUCAGCUUCUUGAGUACAGAAUAGAAUAAAGUUGCUCUGCUCUAUCUGUUGAAUUGAAGACAGUUGGUGACCACCACCAAAAGAAGGAAGAGGAAAAAAGAUAAAAAGCCAUCACACUUUGUACUAGCCAAACAUACCUGGGGACUGAUUUGUUAAAUGUAGGAUUUGGGAGUUUUGCAGCAAUUUAAAAAAGCAGCCACUCUCCUGGUAUCACUGGAUUAACACACCAACAAUAUCAGGGCAAGCAAGAGGAAAACCAUGAUUCUAACAGGGCAUAAAAAUGUCCAAGCCAAGAACUGGCUCAGUUCAGAAUCCUCAGAGAGGAUUCUAUCUAAAGACUCUGUUCCUUAUGCUGCAACUGCCUUGAGUCACGGUCACAGUCGCAGCUGCAGAUCACCACAAAAUUGUCCUUCCUUUUCCAUCGCCCCUUCAUAAAUCUUUCACCAGAAGCUCUGAUCCCCAAACAAGUUGCUCUUCAACUGGAAUUGCUCACAUGCCAACUUCCUGUAGUAAAGCAGCUGUUGUUUUUGUACACAACUUUGGCUAUGGACCGUAGCUUUGGGUUAGGUGAAUGUUCAUUGGAUGGGAGCUGACUGAAUGGAUGCUGUAUUUGUGUGGUACCCAUACUGAUCAAAUGGAUGCUGGAAGGACCUAGACCAAAGGGACUUCCAUCAUUCAUCUUCUUGUCUCUAUUGCUUUUGGUGCCUGCAACUCCCAGAUGUAAGCAAAAAUGCUUCUCAUAUCAUUUCUCACACUUGGGCCUCCGAGUAAAGGACAACCCUACUAAUUGUGCCCAAAUUCAUGUCAGCAGGAGACUUCAACGUUUCUUUGGCAAACAGACUUCCCAAGGAACUUAGUAAUUCACCAUGACUGCUGGUGAACACAGCACUGGUGUCUCACAGGCUCAGUUUUUAUCCUCCCUCCUGAUACACGCUGUGAUCUGUGGUUCAUGUGAUUGACAAAAACAUGGAUAUUAUGUGCUUUUCAAAAUAAAGCCAACUUCAACUUAUAUGUACGUAGUGUCAUGUUCACAUUAAAACUAUGUAUUUAUUGAGUUGAAUACAGCUCACAUAACGACCUUUAAAAGACCCCUGGACUUCAGGGAGUAAAGGCUUCUUACCAAGUAGCUUCCCAUUUUUUCUACAGCUCCUCUCUAUGGAAGGACAUACUGCAUCAUUUUGUGAAAGUCACAUUUAACUGCAGGUUCUAAUUUGAAAAUCAGCUCUAUCUAGCUCUGAAAUAGCUAAGACCACCUGCCUCUGAACAUCUUCUAACUCUAACCUAAUGCCUUCCAUCACAGAAUUCUCUACCAGAACUAGCUCAGCCACUGUCUGAGAUCAGUCACCUAUGCAAAGGAAAGGGGGCAAUGGUUUGAAGUGGCACAGAAGAACAGACAGAAGAGCAAAAACACUCUCUAAGCAACUGAAACCACAGGAGACUGUAGAUGGAUAACAUAUAAUGACCCAAUCUGGGUCACUGGGACUAGUUCUUCACCUUUUAUGGAAAAAAAAAAUAAUAAAACCCCAUCUUUAAAUGGUCAGAGCUUUGGUUUUCCUUCUUGUUUAAAUGAACUAUCUCCAGCAGCAUAGAACCCCAGGCACCAAAAAAAGGCUUUGGUUCCCUGCUGAUUUUUGGGGGAAGGUACCACCCCCCUGAUCAUCACCUCCAGUCACAAGUCAAAGGUUAUUUGCAUUUUAGCUGCUUCAGACUCUCUCAUGCUGGGACUGGAAUGGGGCCAACAUACAGCCUUAGAGACUGAAGUUACCUGAACUGCUGUUGAGAUGAGAAGAAAUGAAGCUGCAAGUUUCACAUACGGGCCGUGCUUCAUGGAAAAGAAUGAUAAUUCCCAGAAGAUAUAUGCCUCCUAUAACCCCUGCUGCAAUCAUAUAGACUUUUGCCUUUGAAAAGAAAAAAGACACAUCUGAAAUGGUGACAGGAGAGUGACAAAUCAUGAUGAAAAUUUCAGUCUUUUUUCUGGUGAGUCAUCUGCAAGUGAAGAAAUGCCCCCCUAAAUAGUGCCAACUGUCUAUCUUUUACUUCUGUGAAGAACAUUCACUUCUGCAAUUCAUUUAUAAACAACAGCUACUUAAGGAUAAAUCCAGGAGGAGGAGAAAAAGAAGGUGUGAACAAAGGUCUACUGUGCUGGCAACAAGAAUAGGAAAAAAAAUGCUUAUGUUGAGACUAGCUAUAGACAUACGCAGUCAUCUGUCAAAAGCACACAGCAUUCAUAGAAUGAUUCUGGAUUUUUGUUUUUUAUUUUAUUUCAAAUCUUGUUGAUCUUUUUAUACAGACCCGAAACUGUAUCUUCAUUCUGGGUGGGAAAGUCUUCUGAGCUGAUGCAAACAUAUCUAUUACGGUUACUGCAUUUGUACAUGACAAUAACAAAAUCUUAUUUUAGAAAGCACACUUUAAUGCUGAUGUUUUGAGAACGUAGUAGCUUGCAUGCUUGUUUUCACAGUUAGGUAGUGAAAUGUUUAAGCAAAUUCAGAAAUCUUUGCUUUCUAUUAAGUCAGGUGAAAGAGCCCUCCAAGGAUACCUCCCACACGAAUCAUAUUUAUUGUUUCUGACUGUGAUUAUAUUGACUCUUGAAUAAAGCUUUACAAUUUUA
Gallus gallus (chicken) is the source of this 6845-nucleotide long non-coding RNA. RefSeq lists it as uncharacterized. The transcript has 2 exons. Lineage: Eukaryota; Metazoa; Chordata; Aves; Galliformes; Phasianidae. The record is from RefSeq and is a predicted model, not a curated record.